GACGAACGCUGGCGGCGUGCUUAACACAUGCAAGUCGAACGGAAAGGCCCUGCUUUUGUGGGGUGCUCGAGUGGCGAACGGGUGAGUAACACGUGAGUAACCUGCCCUUGACUUUGGGAUAACUUCAGGAAACUGGGGCUAAUACCGGAUAGGAGCUCCUGCUGCAUGGUGGGGGUUGGAAAGUUUCGGCGGUGGGGGAUGGACUCGCGGCUUAUCAGCUUGUUGGUGGGGUAGUGGCUUACCAAGGCUUUGACGGUAGCCGGCCUGAGAGGGUGACCGGCCACAUUGGGACUGAGAUACGGCCCAGACUCCUACGGGAGGCAGCAGUGGGGAAUAUUGCACAAUGGGCGGAAGCCUGAUGCAGCAACGCCGCGUGCGGGAUGACGGCCUUCGGGUUGUAAACCGCUUUCGCCUGUGACGAAGCGUGAGUGACGGUAAUGGGUAAAGAAGCACCGGCUAACUACGUG
RNAcentral lists this ribosomal RNA (467 nucleotides) under uncultured bacterium. RNAcentral's name for it is "partial 16S ribosomal RNA". It matches the Rfam family "Bacterial small subunit ribosomal RNA", at positions 28 to 507 of the family's 1533-position model. The record is from RNAcentral.